This 1584-nucleotide ribosomal RNA is filed under the name Triticum aestivum (bread wheat). RNAcentral's name for it is "partial small subunit ribosomal RNA". The record is from RNAcentral. Lineage: Eukaryota; Viridiplantae; Streptophyta; Magnoliopsida; Poales; Poaceae.
AUGGAGAAACAGAGCAGCCAAGAACUUUCGAUCGAAAAUAAGAGCGCUGGUUUCAGUAGGGUGGAGAAACCUAAGGUGGCAGAGAUUCAGCUUCAACUUCUACCCUAUGUAAGGAUCGCAAUGCCUUAUUUACGUCGGGACGUUUUGCGCGACAUACUGUCACGGUUGUCAAUCAAGGAUGUCGUGAGGAUGAGCACGCUUUCUGGUGAAUGGAGACAGCAGCGGAUAUGCCACCCAGAUCUGGUCUUCACCAAAGACACCUUUGGCAUCAGUACUGACCCAGAUCCGGACUUCACCAAAACCAUUAAUGCCAUCAUUAGAGACACGGAUGCUAAACGAGCAUCCUGGACUGCUGAAUUCAUCUUCAAUGUGGAGAGUGUAUUGCGCCCACUGUGGUCUACUUCUACUACAACUACGACUACGCUGGACAAGUUUGCUGUUGAAUUUGGUCUCCGCAGAAAGCAUAAGUAUUACAUUGAUAGAUGGGUUAGCUUUUCCAUUGCGUCAAGGGCCAAGCACAUUGCUUUCGAUUUCACAUUUGAUGUCGAUUGCGCUGGCCCUGGAUGUGACCAGUACAAGGAUGUUUUCCCGCUGUGCAAGCUCAGUGGCCCAAGCGGCUCUUGUGUCACAUCUCUUGUUCUGGGCUAUGUAUGGUUAAAGCUGCCCCCCAGUUUCUGCGGUAUCACAAACCUUAGGAAACUUACACUAAAAACGGUGUUCAUCAGUGAAGGUGAUCUCCAGUGCCUGUUGCUAAGUUGUGCUCUUCUCGAGCAUAUAAACAUAGAGUGGUGCUCCCCCUUGUCAAGUUUACGCAUAGGGCAGGAACUGUGCAGGUUGCAGUACCUGCGUGUGCGCCGUUCUGAACUGGAAAUGUUAGAGUUGCAUGCUCCAAAUCUUACCAAAUUUGAGUUCGACGAAGAUCUCGCACAAAUUGUGCUCAGUGAUUGCUUGAGGUUGUCGGAGGCAACCUUUGUAUCAAACAUGAGGACUCAAGAGUUCAAUGAUUAUGAUUUCGAUGACUUGGCCUUCACCUUCACCGAGCUUGCUCUUCCUCAUGUGCAAAAACUAUUUCUACUUUUGAAUUUGGAUCAGGUGCUAAGAUUCAGUGAAAACCAGAAUAGCUUCAUCAAUUUGAGGCAUCUGAACAUGAACCUUGAGAUCGGGUGGGAUCCAUAUGAUGAUAGUUGGGCAAUAGGGUUUGUUCAUCUUUUGCAAUUAUCACCUCUCUUAGAAGAAUUAGAACUGCAUGUUGGUCGUGAUAGAUUUUGCCCUCCUACUAUGAGGAUGGUGACAGCUGCGCAAGGGCCUCUGCAUCAUCACCUCAAGAGUGUCCACAUGUCUGGAUUUUGUGAUGUAUUGGGGCUAGCUGAGCUGGCGCUCUACAUCCUUGGGAAUGCUACUGUACUUCAACGUAUGGUGGUAGAUCCAGUGGCGUAUGCCGAGACUCUUCACACUGAUGAUAUCUAUUCAGUCAGCAAGGCUGGUAGUAUCGAGGGGGACCAUUACCAUGCCGAUCAGAAUAGGAUGUUUGCAGAGCAAAUCCUUGGCAGCGAGGAGUUCCGUCAUAUCGUCACCAUUUUGUGA